Molecule: ribosomal RNA, 1515 nt
Filed under: Candidatus Falkowiibacteriota bacterium
Lineage: Bacteria; Candidatus Falkowiibacteriota
Description: bacterial SSU rRNA
Rfam family: Bacterial small subunit ribosomal RNA
Source: RNAcentral
AGAGUUUGAUCCUGGCUCAGGAUGAACGCUGGCGGCGUGCCUAAGGCAUGCAAGUCUUACGUGUUGCUCCGCUUCGGUGGAAGUCAACGCGUGGCGAACGGGAGAGUAACACAUUGGUAAUCUACCCCGAAGAUGAGUAUAACCUCGCGAAAGCGGGGAUAAUCCUCAAUAAAAAUGGGGGGUCACAUGACAUUCCCAUUUAAAGGUUUUGUUUGUUUUUGCAAGCAAGGCGCUUCGGGAGGAGCCUAUGGCCUAUCAGCUUGUUGGUGAGGUAACUGCUCACCAAGGCAACGACAGGUAGCGGGUGUGAGAGCACUGCCCGCCUCACUGGGACUGAGACACUGCCCAGACUCCUACGGGAGGCUGCAGUCAGGAAUCUUCCCCAAUGGCCGAAAGGUUGAGGGAGCGACGCCGCGUGCAUGAAGACGCCUUUCGAGGUGUAAAAUGCUUUUGUAAGGGAAGAAGUUUAGUCUUUGGCUAAAUUGACGGUACCUUACGAAUAAGGGGCUGCCAAUCUCGUGCCAGCAGCAGCGGUAAUACGAGAGCCCCAAGCGUUAUCCGGAUUUAUUGGGCGUAAAGGGUCCGUAGGCGGUUUAUCGCAUCUCCUGUUAAAUCUUUUAGCUCAACUAAAAGGCCGCAGGAGAGAUGGGUAAACUAGAGGCCGGGAGAGGCAGACGGAAUUGCCGGUGUAGGGGUUAAAUCCGUUAAUAUCGGCAGGAACACCAAAUGCGAAGGCAGUCUGCUAGAACGGUUCUGACGCUAAGGGACGAAAGCGUGGGGAGCAAAGAGGAUUAGAUACCCUCGUAGUCCACGCCGUAAACGAUGGAUGCUAAGUAUUGGGAGUUGUCGACCCUCUCAGUGCUGUUUACCUAAGUUAACACGUUAAGCAUCCCGCCUGGGGAGUACGAGCGCAAGCUUAAAACUCAAAGGAAUAGACGGGGACCCGCACAAGCGGUGGAGCACGUGGUUUAAUUCGAUAAUAAGCGAGGAACUCUACCAAGACUUGACAUUCGGCUGCAUGCCCUGGAAACAGGGAGGCCUUAGAGGGUGCCGAACAGAUGUUGCAUGGCUGUCGUCAGCUCGUGUCGUGAGAUGUACCGUUAAGUCGGGUAACGAGCGCAACCCCUGUCCCAUGUUUUAUAUGUCAUGGGAGACUGCCCGCGUUAAGUGGGAGGAAGGUGGGGAUGACGUCAAGUCAGCAUGAUUCUUACGUCUUGGGUGACACACGUGCUACAAUGGGAAGUACAAAGGGUCGCUAAGCCGCAAGGUGGAGCUAAUCCCUUAAAACUUCUCUCAGUUCGGAUUGGGGUCUGCAACUCGACCCCAUGAAGCUGGAAUCGCUAGUAAUCGUGAAUCAGCCAUGUCACGGUGAAUACGUUCUCGGGUCUUGUACUCACCGCCUGUCACGCCAGGGGAGUCGGCAGUGCCCGAAGGCUGUUCGCAAGAACGGACGAAGGUAAGGCCGGCGACCGGGGCGAAGUCAUAACAAGGCACCCGUAGCGGAAGCUGUGGGUG